GACGAACGCUGGCGGCGUGCCUAAUACAUGCAAGUUGAGCGCUGAAGGUUGGUACUUGUACCAACUGGAUGAGCAGCGAACGGGUGAGUAACGCGUGGGGAAUCUGCCUUUGAGCGGGGGACAACAUUUGGAAACGAAUGCUAAUACCGCAUAAAAACUUUAAACACAAGUUUUAAGUUUGAAAGAUGCAAUUGCAUCACUCAAAGAUGAUCCCGCGUUGUAUUAGCUAGUUGGUGAGGCAAAGGCUCACCAAGGCGAUGAUACAUAGCCGACCUGAGAGGGUGAUCGGCCACAUUGGGACUGAGACACGGCCCAAACUCCUACGGGAGGCAGCAGUAGGGAAUCUUCGGCAAUGGACGAAAGUCUGACCGAGCAACGCCGCGUGAGUGAAGAAGGUUUUCGGAUCGUAAAACUCUGUUGGUAGAGAAGAACGUUGGUGGGAGUGGAAAGCUCAUCAAGUGACGGUAACUACCCAGAAAGGGACGGCUAACUACGUG
This 497-nucleotide ribosomal RNA is filed under the name uncultured bacterium. Its description in RNAcentral is "partial 16S ribosomal RNA". It matches the Rfam family "Bacterial small subunit ribosomal RNA", at positions 28 to 507 of the family's 1533-position model. The record is from RNAcentral.